UUUUUAUUAUUCCCACUUUGCCCUUCCAAAAAUCUAAUUACAUUCAUAAUUUUUAAUACAAAAUUCCUUUGUAAUGCUACGUCUCAUUAAUGUCAACUUUGACCAUGCCACAUAAACAAGACUUAAACGACUGUUUAGUGUAAUUUGACGGCAGACCUUUAAUUGAAUCAAUUUUACAAAAAUAAUAAAAAAAAAAAACCAACUAAGACGC
This 211-nucleotide long non-coding RNA is filed under the name Vigna radiata. RNAcentral describes it as "long non-coding RNA (VRAD_LNC003128)". The record is from RNAcentral. Lineage: Eukaryota; Viridiplantae; Streptophyta; Magnoliopsida; Fabales; Fabaceae.